CCCGCCACUACGCCGGUCCGGCCGGUGACCGGGCGGAGUCCAGUGGAGGCUCAGAGCGACCCGGCUUCAGGAAACGGGGCGGCUCCUCCCCGGUGGGCCGCCCCGUGCCGAAAAGCCCGGAACACAC
This is a small nucleolar RNA of Salarias fasciatus (jewelled blenny), 127 nucleotides long. NCBI's taxonomy places the organism in Eukaryota, Metazoa, Chordata, Actinopteri, Blenniiformes, Blenniidae. The record is from Ensembl.